UGCAGUUGCAUGAGUUAAUCUAUAAAAUAUUAUAAAAUAUUGGUGUCAUUAUUGCCACUUUCCAUUCUUCAGGUGACACAACUCAUUUAAAAGACAUUAUUGUUCACAGUUAAGAGUUCAGCAGUUACUUGUUUUGUUGCUUUAGAAUUCCUGAGGGAAACAUUACUGUGGGCUUAUCCUCUGGAAAUGAAUAGCUCUGGGGUAGGAAGAUCUCAAGACUCUCCUGGAAUGAAUAUAAAGAAUUAAUUUUGACUUUUUUUUUUUUUUCCCAGUAACAUCACCUUAGUGAAUGCUCCUUUUAAAACUUGAUCACAGAAUCACAGAAUCACAGAAUUUCUAGGUUGGAAGAGACCUCAAGAUCAUCGAGUCCAACCUCCGACCUAACGCCAACAGUCUAUUGGAUCCACAGAUUUUCUUGAAAGAUUUUUAUUCCCAUUGGAAUUUCUGUCUUGUGACAAUAAAUGACACCACUGGAGAAAAAUUUCAGAGUUUUUAGCAGAAAACUGUUAGCAGCAACACAGUUUUUGCAGGCCAGCUAUGGAGCCUUGUGCCACACAGUUUGCCAUUGCAUUCUCAUACUUACCAGCAGCAGAAUGCUAGCAAGAUUCAGCAUACAUAUGCUCACACAGCAGUGUGCAUACUGGGCAAAAAUUGCUUUUCCCAUUCCUGUCUUCUUUGACUUUGACAUUUAAUUCUCUUGCCAUCUCAUUUGAACAAUUUUGAUUGUCAUUUUCCAAUAAUUUCAACCUGAAGCUAACAAUCAGCAUUUAAAAUAUCAAACCAGACCUGUUAGAAAAUUUAGAAGUCACUGAAAAUAGGGUCUUUAUAUGGAAACUGUGAAACUGGCAUGGUGCUCUCCAUGAGCCUUGAGUGCCAUUUUGGAUGCCCAGGAGAGGUAGCUGUGAAACCAGUGGGAAGAGAGACCUGUACUUGCACAUCAUCUGGAGACCUGACCACAUAUUUUAGAGCAUCUCAGACGGCAUUAGACCCCUCAGCUUUGUCUCCUGAAUCAAGCAUAGGAUGCUUUCAACUUCCUUGUGUUUCAAUGAAGAUGUUUCCAAAGGUUGAUGUCACAAGUUGAUUUGAAGAGAG
Molecule: long non-coding RNA, 1092 nt
Filed under: Anas platyrhynchos platyrhynchos (common mallard)
Lineage: Eukaryota; Metazoa; Chordata; Aves; Anseriformes; Anatidae
Description: lncRNA (ENSAPLG00000030601.1)
Source: RNAcentral